AAGGGUGUGGCUCAGUGGUAGAGUGCAUGCCUAGCAUGCAUAAGGUCCUGGGUUCAAUCCCCAGUACCUCCA
RNAcentral lists this transfer RNA (72 nucleotides) under Camelus bactrianus (Bactrian camel). It matches the Rfam family "tRNA". Rfam says of the family: Transfer RNA (tRNA) molecules are approximately 80 nucleotides in length. RNAcentral also lists the same sequence under 2 other names. The record is from Rfam by way of RNAcentral. Lineage: Eukaryota; Metazoa; Chordata; Mammalia; Artiodactyla; Camelidae.